GUCUGCCGUUGAAUAAAAAAACGUAAACUGUGCGAGUUAAACAAGCGGCAUUGAAUACGACUUAAUUUAUCUUUUUGAUUAUUGGAACUGUAAAAGCUUUGCACCUACUGACAUUUAACGGAAUUAUGCUAGACUUUUUACUGCUAUAAAUGAUAUAAUUUUCACGACGCCACUAAUGUAUAUAAUGACGCUAUACUACAUUUUAUCUAGAUAAUAUCAGAAUACCCAUUAUCUUUUUAUUUAUAUUUGUAAUUGUUUUUAGUAAAUACGUAGUGAAUAAACGUC
Cinara cedri is the source of this 285-nucleotide non-coding RNA. The record is from the annotation of a GenBank genome assembly. Lineage: Eukaryota; Metazoa; Arthropoda; Insecta; Hemiptera; Aphididae.